RNAcentral lists this long non-coding RNA (1458 nucleotides) under Monodelphis domestica (gray short-tailed opossum). RNAcentral describes it as "lncRNA (ENSMODG00000037539.1)". The record is from RNAcentral. Lineage: Eukaryota; Metazoa; Chordata; Mammalia; Didelphimorphia; Didelphidae.
AUGGGUAACAGCUUGUCUGUUGUCCCAAAAUUUGGUGGGGGCGGUCAGCAGCCCAAAGAACCACCUAGAAAUACGGCCGCAAGUUACAUGGUUUCGAAGUAUGGACCUGAUGCAAGCAAGUACUUAGAGAAAUGGCAAGCAAUGACAAAGGCCAAUCCGAAGGUAAGCUGGCCAAGGUGGGGUUCACUUAAUGAGGAAAGGAUGUUGUUUCUGCAGUCUGUUUUAAGUGAAGCAGGUCGAGAAAUUGAAGGAGACGAAAGAGAAGUCUUCAACCUAUGGCUCGAGGAGUACACCCAGAGAAAACACAGGUCAGAACGAUCCGUAGAACAAGAGAUGGGUAAGAACAAGAGAAAGGUAAGGGAGGAGGAGAAUCAAGGUGAACAAGGCAGGGAAGCCACUAAAAAGCAAAUAGCUGAUUUACAGAAGGAGGUAGAAAGCCUUAAAGAACUCCUGAAAGGCUCUAGCAACCCAGCAACCUCUUUAGACAGCAUACCUGAGCCCCUAGAAUCACCUGAGGCACCCAUCCCUCAAUUCCCUUUUAAAAUUAAGGGAAGGGAAGGAACCAAAACAAUGCAGGUAUCUUUUACUCCUUGGACAAAAACAGAGCUCAAAGCCAUGGCCAAGGAAUUCCCAAAGGUUAGAGAAAACCCCAUAGCAUUUGCCAAGGAAUUUGAAUUAACUCUCUCUACAUACCAGCCUGGCCUAUCAGACCUUUACCAGCUAGCUCACAUACUAGUAGGUUCAGGAGAUGCUACUCACUGGUUUAAAACUGCUAGUUGGGAGAACCCUUUAGAAUAUAUUAAUCAGUUAAUGGCCAGAAAGGAAGGACCUGAAGUCCAUCUUCAGGAGGCAAAGAAGAUGGGAGAGGCUUUGUUAGAAGCAAUCCCCAAGGCCUUUCCAAAAUCUGUAAAUUGGGGAAAAAUCCAAAUUUGCACUCAGAAAGAAGGAGAAUCUGUAUUUGAUUUUUAUAAUAGAUUUUUAUAUACCUUCAGGGCAAAUUCUGGACUUUCCCCAGAUAGCCCAGAUACCUUAAUUACCUUUAACACCCUCUAUGUGGAAGGGUUAAAUAAGGCCCUUGCAAAUCUCCUCAAGAGAGGGAAAGUAGACUGGAAUUUAACUCCCACCCCUGACCUAGUCUAUCUAGCAAGUAAAUUCCAACAAACACUGACAGAAGAAAAGGAGAAGGCAGCAGAGGAAAUGACAAAAAAAACUAACCAGAUCAUGAAUUUGCAGUUAAAACACUGGGAGCAGAAGGAGAGAAGACCGACUGAACCCUAUUCUGCCGAAAAAGCAGGCGGGAGGCAAAGAGCCUGGAGAUGUCACUUUUGCCACCAGACCAGGCACUUAAAAAAGGACUGCCAUCGGCUCCUGGGUAAGAGGGGGAGACGCCAAGGUAAGUUUCAAUACCACUCAGGAAAGUUCCCCCGAAAGGAACAUCAUGAGGAAGCCUCACAAUGA